RNAcentral lists this ribosomal RNA (253 nucleotides) under uncultured bacterium. RNAcentral describes it as "partial 16S ribosomal RNA". It matches the Rfam family "Bacterial small subunit ribosomal RNA", at positions 524 to 776 of the family's 1533-position model. The record is from RNAcentral.
UACGAAGGGGGCUAGCGUUGUUCGGAAUUACUGGGCGUAAAGGGCGCGCAGGCGGUCUUCCAAGUCAGAUGUGAAAGCCCCGGGCUCAACCUGGGAACUGCAUUUGAGACUGGAGGACUAGAGUUCGGGAGAGGAGAGCGGAAUUCCCAGUGUAGAGGUGAAAUUCGUAGAUAUUGGGAAGAACACCGGUGGCGAAGGCGACUCUUUGGCCUGUAACUGACGCUGAGGAGCGAAAGCGUGGGGAGCGAACAGG